CACUUUCCACACCGAUCUCUUGGCUCUCNCAUCGAUGAAGAACCCAGCGAAAUGCGAUAAGUAAUGUGAAUGCAGAAUUCAGUGAAUCAUCGAAUCUUUGAACGCACCUUGCACCCUUUGGUUUUCCACAGGGUAUGCCUGUUUGAGUAUCA
This 152-nucleotide ribosomal RNA is filed under the name uncultured fungus. RNAcentral's name for it is "partial 5.8S ribosomal RNA". It matches the Rfam family "5.8S ribosomal RNA". Rfam says of the family: 5.8S ribosomal RNA (5.8S rRNA) is a component of the large subunit of the eukaryotic ribosome. It is transcribed by RNA polymerase I as part of the 45S precursor that also contains 18S and 28S rRNA. Functionally, it is thought that 5.8S rRNA may be involved in ribosome translocation. Lineage: Eukaryota; Fungi. The record is from RNAcentral.